GACGAACGCUGGCGGCGUGCUUAGCACAUGCAAGUCGAACGGUAAGGCCCUUCGGGGUACACGAGUGGCGAACGGGUGAGUAACACGUGGGCGAUCUGCCCUGCACUUCGGGAUAAGCCUGGGAAACUGGGUCUAAUACCGGAUAGGACCACUGCCUGCAUGGGUGGUGGUGGAAAGCUUUUGCGGUGUGGGAUGGGCCCGCGGCCUAUCAGCUUGUUGGUGGGGUGAUGGCCUACCAAGGCGACGACGGGUAGCCGGCCUGAGAGGGUGACCGGCCACACUGGGACUGAGAUACGGCCCAGACUCCUACGGGAGGCAGCAGUGGGGAAUAUUGCACAAUGGGCGCAAGCCUGAUGCAGCGACGCCGCGUGAGGGAUGACGGCCUUCGGGUUGUAAACCUCUUUCAGCACCGACGAAGCGCAAGUGACGGUAGGUGCAGAAGAAGGACCGGCCAACUACGUGCCAGCAGCCGCCGUAA
Molecule: ribosomal RNA, 478 nt
Filed under: uncultured bacterium
Lineage: Bacteria
Description: partial 16S ribosomal RNA
Rfam family: Bacterial small subunit ribosomal RNA
Source: RNAcentral